Molecule: long non-coding RNA, 400 nt
Organism: Prionailurus viverrinus (fishing cat)
Lineage: Eukaryota; Metazoa; Chordata; Mammalia; Carnivora; Felidae
Exons: 3
Source: RefSeq, a predicted model, not a curated record
UUUAGGUUUAGGCUGAUUUCUCCUAAGGGUGUGUGGUGGCUGGAAGAGUUUCUCUUACAGAGGAAGUUUAUAAGAAAAGUGAGAGAGUGCGAUCUUCAGUGUGUGCUGCACGGGCAGUGGUGUGGACCCAGAGUUCAGGCACAGGCGAAGAACGGACACGGAUUUCACACUCCUGAUAGGAACAUGGACUUGGAGGUUGCUCGUGAAUCCCAGGACCUCCACCGCAUCUACAGGCAAGAGGGGCAUCCCCACCACCAGCUCUACCAGCACCACCUCUAACUGCAGGAAUUGCUCCUCCAAGUCCUUCGCCUCUACUAAAUGGUAUCCACCGCCAUUGCCUCUGUUGGGGGAUCGGUGAUCCAUAAUCACACCACCCGCUCUGAAUUAUGAAAUGGAAGUA